Molecule: long non-coding RNA, 909 nt
Filed under: Anas platyrhynchos platyrhynchos (common mallard)
Lineage: Eukaryota; Metazoa; Chordata; Aves; Anseriformes; Anatidae
Description: lncRNA (ENSAPLG00000021390.1)
Source: RNAcentral
UGCUUCAGAGGCAUACUAAAAUAAGUAGUUUUAUUUUUUCUUCCUAUAUAUUGUAAUUAGCCUUUUGCUGCUAAGGCAAAACCAAAUCAAACCAAAAUAAUUAAUAAUAAUAAUUAAAAAAAAGCAAAACACUUUUUUUUUUUUUUUUUUUAACCAAACGUUUGUAGUCUAUCAUAGUGCUCUGGGUGAUAACAAGCAUAUAAACAUUUAGUAGAGAACUACAAUGCUGAUAGUCCUGGUAAGUCUGAAAAUGCAAACAUCCCCAAUUUGCAAAUUUGAAGGCUUUAAAAUUGUGGUCUUAAUAAAAGCAGAAAUUCACUGUGACUGAUUUGUAAUUCACAGCAUACAAAUUACACUAAAUGAAGAUCCGAGUUACGCAAAUCUAAGUCAUACACCAACAUCCAAUACCCAGCACCAUACACACUACCUCAAGCCAUGCCCAGCUGAUCUAAGGCAAGAAAUAUAUUCCUUUCCACUGUCUUUCCUUCCCUUUGUUUCUGCUGGGGAAGACUCUUGUUAUGCUUUGUUUGCCCUUUCUUACCAGCUGGAAAGGAAGAUGGAUUUAGACACAAGUAAACUAUGAGCUUCAAAGCCUGAUCUUCUGUAGUCUAGCCCUUGAUCUCUACUUGUGCUCCUUCUGAAGUUCAGCUGUAAAAGGAAGAAGCAAUGUCAUUUUUCUGCAGUGCUCACACUCAGAACAUCGAAAAUUAAGGAUGAAAUUUUGCAGUGAGGUACACAAGCAAAGAAUCUCAUCAUCAUCACGAUUAUUGAGAAGAGUAAAGUGAAAUGUAUGUGAAACCCCUUCAGGAAUGAGAGUAGAGGAAUAAUGUUACAGAAGAAAAGAAUGAUUUUGGAAACAUAAUAUUGUAUACUUUCACAUUAUUUUGAAUGCAUUAGGCCUUACAAAAA